GGGCUCGGCGGUGUCCGCGCAGGGAGACGCGGGCGCCGAGGUCGCUGGGCAGGACAGCAGCAUGCUCACCGGGACGAUACGGCUCUUUGGUCAG
This 94-nucleotide non-coding RNA is filed under the name Mesodinium pulex. Lineage: Eukaryota; Ciliophora; Litostomatea; Cyclotrichida; Mesodiniidae. The record is from RNAcentral.